CUACGGGUGGCUGCAGUGGGGAAUAUUGGGCAAUGGGCGAAAGCCUGACCCAGCAACGCCGCGUGAAGGAAGAAGGUUUUCGGAUCGUAAACUUCUAUCCCAGGUGAAGAUAAUGACGGUAGCCUGGAAGGAAGCCCCGGCUAACUACGUGCCAGCAGCCGCGGUAAUACGUAGGGGGCAAGCGUUGUCCGGAAUGAUUGGGCGUAAAGGGCGCGUAGGCGGCCUUCUAAGUCCGAUGUGAAAGUCCUGCUUUUAAGGUGGGAAUUGCAUUGGAAACUGGAGGGCUUGAGUGCAGGAGAGGUAAGUGGAAUUCCCGGUGUAGCGGUGAAAUGCGUAGAGAUCGGGAGGAACACCAGUGGCGAAGGCGACUUAUUGGACUGUAACUGACGCUGAGGCGCGAAAGUGUGGGGAGCAAACAGGAUUAGAUACCCGAGUAGUC
Molecule: ribosomal RNA, 439 nt
Filed under: uncultured bacterium
Lineage: Bacteria
Description: partial 16S ribosomal RNA
Rfam family: Bacterial small subunit ribosomal RNA
Source: RNAcentral